Molecule: ribosomal RNA, 492 nt
Filed under: uncultured bacterium
Lineage: Bacteria
Description: partial 16S ribosomal RNA
Rfam family: Bacterial small subunit ribosomal RNA
Source: RNAcentral
AGCGAACGCUGGCGGCAGGCCUAACACAUGCAAGUCGAACGGCAGCACAGUAAGAGCUUGCUCUUACGUGAGGCGAGUGUCGGACCGUUGAGUAAUACACCGGAAUCUACUGUUUCGUGUGGGAUAAUGUAGGGAAUCUUACGCUAAUACAGCAUACGACCUACUUGUGAAAGCAGGCGAUUUUCGAACCUUGCGCGAUUGAAUUAGCCGAUGUCGGAUUAGCUAGUUGGCGGGUUAAAGGCCAACUACGGCGACGAUCCGUAGCUGGUCUGAGAGGAUGGUCAGCGACAUUGGAAGUGAGCCACGGUCCAGACUACUGCGGGAGGCAGCAGUGGGGAAUAUUAGACAAUGGUGGCGAGCAUGAUCCAGCGAUACCGCGUGGGUGAAGAAGGCGUUGUGGUUGUAAAGACAUUUUGUUGGGAGAGAAAAGCAGUUGGUUAAUACGCCGCUGUUAUGACGGUACCUAAAGAAUAAGCACCGGCUAACUUCGUG